Molecule: long non-coding RNA, 303 nt
Organism: Cimex lectularius (bed bug)
Lineage: Eukaryota; Metazoa; Arthropoda; Insecta; Hemiptera; Cimicidae
Exons: 2
Source: RefSeq, a predicted model, not a curated record
CGCAAAAGGCUUAAAAGGACAAAGGUCGGAUGAAACGCAUUUUAGCAGGACGACGCAGAUCAAUUAUUUUUUUGUGAAGUAGCAUUGUUUACAUUAAGAAAGUUUUCUUCUCUUUAACUUCCCAAAAGGAAAAUUAACUUCUUCAGGUUCUUGUUCCGGUGUCCUGCCGGAAACCUGUCUUCUGGGACGUUCUUCACAAUUGAUGGGCGGGGUAUGCUUUAUAUGACAUGUCUGGAGAAUAAGGUGGAUGCUGAAGAACUUCGUAGCCAAGCUCUUUCAAUUUGUUUACAUCAUGAUUUGAAA